UACGAAGGGGGCUAGCGUUGUUCGGAAUUACUGGGCGUAAAGCGUGCGCAGGCGGUUUUGUAAGCCAGGUGUGAAAUCCCCGGGCUCAACCUGGGAAUGGCAUUUGGGACUGCAAGGCUGGAGUGUGGCAGAGGAGACUGGAAUUCCUGGUGUAGCAGUGAAAUGCGUAGAUAUCAGGAGGAAUACCGAUGGCGAAGGCAGGUCUCUGGGCUGACACUGACGCUCAUGCACGAAAGCGUGGGGAGCAAACAGG
RNAcentral lists this ribosomal RNA (253 nucleotides) under uncultured bacterium. RNAcentral's name for it is "partial 16S ribosomal RNA". It matches the Rfam family "Bacterial small subunit ribosomal RNA", at positions 524 to 776 of the family's 1533-position model. The record is from RNAcentral.